AACGAACGCUGGCGGCAGGCUUAACACAUGCAAGUCGAGCGCCCCGCAAGGGGAGCGGCAGACGGGUGAGUGACACGUGGGAACGUACCUUUUGCUACGGAAUAGCUCCGGGAAACUGGAAUUAAUACCGGAUGUGCCCUUCGGGGGCAAGAUUUAUCGGCAAAAGAUCGGCCCGCGUCCGAUUAGCUAUUUGGUGGGGUAAUGGCCUACCAAGGCGACGAUCAGUAGCUGGUCUGGGAGGAUGAUCAGCCACACUGGGACUGAGACACGGCCCAGACUCCUACGGGAGGCAGCAGUGGGGAAGAUUGGACAAUGGGCGCAAGCCUGAUCCAGCCAUGCCGCGUGAGUGAUGAAGGCCUUAGGGUUGUAAAGCUCUUUCGCUAGGGAAGAUAAUGACGGUACCUAGAGAAGAAGCCCCGGCUAACUUCGUGCCAGCCGCCGCCGUAA
Molecule: ribosomal RNA, 447 nt
Filed under: uncultured bacterium
Lineage: Bacteria
Description: partial 16S ribosomal RNA
Rfam family: Bacterial small subunit ribosomal RNA
Source: RNAcentral